This 445-nucleotide ribosomal RNA is filed under the name uncultured bacterium. RNAcentral describes it as "partial 16S ribosomal RNA". It matches the Rfam family "Bacterial small subunit ribosomal RNA", at positions 354 to 796 of the family's 1533-position model. The record is from RNAcentral.
GUGAGGAAUAUUGGUCAAUGGACGGAAGUCUGAACCAGCCAUGCCGCGUGCAGGAAUAAGGUCCUAUGGAUUGUAAACUGCUUUUAUUCGGGAAUAAACCUCUUUACGUGUAGGGAGCUGAAGGUACCGAAGGAAUAAGCACCGGCUAACUCCGCGCCAGCAGCCGCGGUAAUACGGAGGGUGCAAGCGUUAUCCGGAAUCAUUGGGUUUAAAGGGUCCGCAGGCGGGCUAUCAAGUCAGAGGUGAAAUCCCACAGCUUAACUGUGGAACUGCCUUUGAAACUGAUGGUCUUGAAUUAAGUGGGCGUUGGCGGAAUAUGACAUGUAGCGGUGAAAUGCAUAGAUAUGUCAUGGAACACCGAAAGCGAAGGCAGCUAACGAUACUUAUAUUGACGCUCAUGGACGAAAGCGUGGGUAGCGAACAGGAUUAGAAACCCGGGUAGUCC